GUAGAGGCAUAUUUUAUUUGCCUUUGUUUCUUGGAGCCUAAUGCAUUUGAGGAACUUUGUGCAACAAUGACCACUUCCAUUCAGGUGGAAUUUAUUGUCAUGAAUGUACUUCCUCUGAACAAGGUGAGAGGCAGAGCGUGAGAAAAGAGCCAGGUCAAUCUUCUUGAAGGAAGUCCUAUGUUUACAUUUCAGAAUGAUGUGGAAAAGGAGGAAGGUUGAUUUUGAAGCCAGAUGGUUCUUGUUUCUGUCCUGGCUUCACUGUUGUCUUUGUGGCCUUGGAUACAACUUUCCAGAACCAUCUUAUAUUCCUACUUACUGAAGUUGUAUUAGAUGUAUGCUGUACUUUGAGACUGCAAACUU
This is a long non-coding RNA of Bos taurus (domestic cattle), 360 nucleotides long. Lineage: Eukaryota; Metazoa; Chordata; Mammalia; Artiodactyla; Bovidae. The record is from Ensembl.